This 515-nucleotide ribosomal RNA is filed under the name uncultured bacterium. RNAcentral describes it as "partial 16S ribosomal RNA". It matches the Rfam family "Bacterial small subunit ribosomal RNA", at positions 28 to 523 of the family's 1533-position model. The record is from RNAcentral.
GACGAACGCUGGCGGCGUGCCUAAUACAUGCAAGUCGAGCGAAUGGAUUAAGAGCUUGCUCUUAUGAAGUUAGCGGCGGACGGGUGAGUAACACGUGGGUAACCUGCCCAUAAGACUGGGAUAACUCCGGGAAACCGGGGCUAAUACCGGAUAACAUUUUGAACCGCAUGGUUCGAAAUUGAAAGGCGGCUUCGGCUGUCACUUAUGGAUGGACCAGCGUCGCAUUAGCUAGUUGGUGAGGUAACGGCUCACCAAGGCAACGAUGCGUAGCCGACCUGAGAGGGUGAUCGGCCACACUGGGACUGACACACGGACCAGACUCCUACGGGAGGCAGCAGUAGGGAAUCUUCCGCAAUGGACGAAAGUCUGACGGAGCAACGCCGCGUGAGUGAUGAAGGCUUUCGGGUCGUAAAACUCUGUUGUUAGGGAAGAACAAGUGCUAGUUGAAUAAGCUGACACCUUGACGGUACCUAACCAGAAAGCCACGGCUAACUACGUGCCAGCAGCCGCGGUAA